AAGGUAACUCAUCUAACAUCUUCCUUCAAUUUUGUUGUUGUCCCUGGAGUUAGAUAUGAUGCUGCAAUCCUAAUGGCUGCACUGCAAACUUUAUGUUAUGUAUGUAGAGAAUAAUGCACCUCCUCCAAUUGAGGUGGCACCCCCUGAUCCCACCGAUGAGGUUCCUCCACCAGUAGCUCCACCACAAGCUGCAGCUGGAAAUCCUACUCCAAUUCUUCCUGGGACACCUGCAUUGCUACCUUCUGUUCAGGCUCCUGCUCCUUCUGUUGUUCUCAAGCCUAGUCCACCAGUAGCUCCACCACAAGCUGCAGUUGGAAAUCCCACUCCAAUUCUUCCUGGGACACCUGCAUUGCUACCUUCUGUUCAGGCUCCUGCUCCAUCUGUUGUUCUCAAGGCUAAUCCACCAGUCGCGUCACCUCCAUCUGCGAGCAAUCAACCAAGUAGGCCAGUUGGCUCAG
Molecule: long non-coding RNA, 458 nt
Filed under: Sorghum bicolor (sorghum)
Lineage: Eukaryota; Viridiplantae; Streptophyta; Magnoliopsida; Poales; Poaceae
Description: long non-coding RNA (SBIC_LNC004020)
Source: RNAcentral